CCCAAAGCUUUCCAACAAAUUCACAAUGCAAUAUAAGAUGAACCGGCAACUCUCAAUCCUUCUUUCACUCAACAAACCUUCCUAUCUUCUACAUGUUAUUUUUAGUAAAUAUGACUCCCAAGACUGCAGUCUAAGAAAAGAAAGUCACCUUUCUCAAAAACCCUAUCCUCCAAAUGCUCUUCCAUGGGAAACUCGAAGAAACUAUGAAGACCCCACCUUAUGUAAUCUCCACAUCCACUAAGAGAACCUAAACCCAGUAAUAUGAAUAAUAA
RNAcentral lists this long non-coding RNA (272 nucleotides) under Panax ginseng (ginseng). Its description in RNAcentral is "long non-coding RNA (PGIN_LNC015310)". The record is from RNAcentral. Lineage: Eukaryota; Viridiplantae; Streptophyta; Magnoliopsida; Apiales; Araliaceae.